CCUACGGGAGGCAGCAGUGGGGAAUUUUCCGCAAUGGGCGAAAGCCUGACGGAGCAACGCCGCGUGAGGGAUGAAGGCCUCUGGGCUGUAAACCUCUUUUAUCAAGGAAGAAGAUCUGACGGUACUUGAUGAAUAAGCCACGGCUAAUUCCGUGCCAGCAGCCGCGGUAAUACGGGAGUGGCAAGCGUUAUCCGGAAUUAUUGGGCGUAAAGCGUCCGCAGGCGGUCUUGUAAGUCUGUCGUUAAAGCGUGGAGCUCAACUCCAUUUCGGCGGUGGAAACUACAAGACUAGAGUGUGGUAGGGGCAGAGGGAAUUCCCGGUGUAGCGGUGAAAUGCGUAGAUAUCGGGAAGAACACCAGUGGCGAAGGCGCUCUGCUGGGCCAUAACUGACGCUCAUGGACGAAAGCUAGGGGAGCGAAAGGGAUUAGAUACCCCUGUAGUCCUAGCCGUAAACGAUGAACACUAGGUGUCGGGGAAUCGACCCCUCGGUGUCGUAGCUAACGCGUUAAGUGUUCCGCCUGGGGAGUACGCACGCAGUGUGACGUACAAUAGAGUUAGACGGCGUGUAGACGUUGCGAGGCGACGACGAGGGAGGUUAGG
Molecule: ribosomal RNA, 600 nt
Filed under: uncultured bacterium
Lineage: Bacteria
Description: bacterial SSU rRNA
Rfam family: Bacterial small subunit ribosomal RNA
Source: RNAcentral